CCAGCGCCCCCUGACGGGCGGCGCCCGCGCGGAGGGACAGCCGCGCUCGGGCCUGGGAGCGACUGCGCUCGGCCCCCUUUGUUCCCAGGGCAGGAAAGACAAAGGCUCCUGCAUUCACUCAGGGAGACAGUAGUACAAGUGUUGGUUGCCUGGCCAGUAGGUGGAUCUUGAUCAUAUGUCACCUCAGCACCCAACGGUUGACAUGCAACUACUUGUUACCAAGCAAGAGAAGUUUCUUACAGUGCCCAGUUGCCUGCCUGUAAAUUAGUGCUUGUUUAAACACAAACAUGGAACGUCACAGUUUUAGUUCUUCAUAGUUUUCACCUGAAAGCGAGCUGUUAGUGGUUCUCCAGUAUGUGGCAUGUUUUAGCCUGAGGACUCUGAUGGAGCCAGCUGAAUUGGAGAGACUUGAACAAGUAACAGAGCACAUCACUGCAAGAGAGGUAUUCAAUUCUCCUCCUUGUCUCCUCACUGAUGGCUGCAAGCUGAUGGUGAGACAGACGUUUUUUGGAAGAACUGUGGUGCUGGAUUGCCUCAGCCACCUUGCAUGGUUUGGUGAUGCAGCUGAGCUCAUCAAAUAUCUCAGGUAAAGAAUGUACUGAGCCCAUCUAAUGCCCUAUUGAAACAAUGGCCUUGACAGGAGCUGUGCAUUCCCAACCAAGUAUUUCUUUGAACUGGCUUUGGCUCCUUUGACCACAGAUUUAGCUGAUUCAACAGCAGGAUAUUUACUUGUAUUAGCUGCUAGUAUGUCACCUUGCUUUAUCAUGAACACAUGAGAUGUAACAAAAAAGCAGCAGGAACACACAGCUGGAAGCAGGGAACUGGAGAUGACAAUGGGGAAAUAACUCCUGAAGGCAGAGAGCCAUUCAGAGGUCUUUUCCUUAUCAUCUAACCCCACCUUGAAUGUUACCUCUGGUAUCAGUCACCUGGGUUGAUAAGCCCCUGCAGUAUCUCCUGCGAUAGAACUGGGUCCAAAUUCCCAGAAGUAUCCCUCAGGUGUUACUUAGGGAGAAGUAAAGAGUGCAUGUUAGCACUGAUAAUUAGUUUAGCUGGCCCAACCCAGCUUUUCCUGUGUUGCAAAGGAGCUGAAAGGUUUGCAAGAGGAGUUGUGUUGAUUGUACCGAUGAAGACACUUCUGAUGGUAAUUUGCAGGCCGUUGUGUUUUUAUUGUGUGAAAGCUGAUUUGGAAAUGUACGUCUUGAAAUCUGUAGAAAGCAUGUGUCAUCUGUGUAUUUUGCAUUCCACUUGUGCAGAUAUCAAGCACCUCUAGCAAGUUGCUCCAGCUCAAAACAUCACUCCCUUCUGCUGUUGACAGAACUUUCUUAGCAAAAGUUACUGCCUUUGCAACACAAGUUGGAGGGAUCACAAAAAAAAAAUCAACCCACAUCUCAGUUCUCAGUCUGGCAUGUUAAACUGUUACUCCAAGGAUUGUAUCCAAGGGACAACACAGCAUGGGCGUGCAUUCCUCUUUGGUGACACAGACAGGAAAGGACAACUGUCUCUGGAAAAGCAGAAGCCUCAAAUAGCUGGGGAGCAGUAUUGUCAUACAUACUGGAAACGUGCACACAGACCAAGAGUCUUUCAGGUCCAUGCAGCCAUACAAUUAUUUUAUGCAAGACCAAAAUGAUGACUGCAGUGAACUAAGGAAACUUUAUAGUUUUAUCUGUGUUUUAUGUAUGCAUAUCAACUUUCCAUUUUUACUAGGUUUUAGUUCCAGUUUUCAAUGCUAGCAAUGCAUCUCUAGAGCUCCGUGUCUCUGGCUUCUACUAAAAUCCCAUCCUGCCAAGCCAUUUUUGCCGCAAAGCCUUUGCAGAGGUUUGAUUCAUUUUAUCAUUCCUAGCCUGCAAAUGUGAAGUCCUGUUAGACAAUAAGGACAUCACAUCACAAAAUAAUUUCCUUAGACAUCUUUGCAUGCACUGAUUUACAUCCAUUUUUAAAAGGAAACUCCAAACACGGGGGACUUGCAUAUCUUACUUUUACACUCAAUAAAAACACUGAGAAUACUCAACUACAAGAUAUUUAAAUCCUGGCUUGCUUAGGAACAACUAACUGAUUAGAAAAUUAACCAGCCUUUAAAAAUAAUAUCCCAAUGAUAUGACGCCCAGUGAAUUACUAUAGGCUAUCAAACGAGUAAAGCUUCUUCAUAGAAGCAAAACCACCUGAUGUAGCACAGACUGGUUCAGCUAAAUACAGCACACUGAAAAAUAGGACAAACACACAAUAUACUUUCCAAAGAUCUUCCCUUAAUACAGGGGACAAGGGAAAUAGAGUUGCUAGUCCACAGGAGGCUGCAGAGGCAGGAAACAAGCUGCUGCAGCUCAGAGCAAGCCAGCCUCCCAGAGAAUUCAAGACCACUUAUAGGCACAUAAAUAUGUUGUGGAGUGCUUGAGAAACUCCUUGAAAGCUUAUGUCUGAGAUGCUUUCUCAUCAUUUCGUUUGUGUGAAACCUUCUUCAAAACCUGCCUUCCGACGCUGCGUGUGUGGACGUCACAUGGGGACUAUUCAAAGAGGCGCCUCCCGCCCCGCUCUGCUUCCCUCAGUCCUGCUCCUAGCCGUGCGGUGUCACUAUUCUCCGUUGUCCCAGCACGAAAACUUGA
Lepidothrix coronata (blue-crowned manakin) is the source of this 2597-nucleotide long non-coding RNA. RefSeq lists it as uncharacterized. The transcript has 4 exons. The record is from RefSeq and is a predicted model, not a curated record. NCBI's taxonomy places the organism in Eukaryota, Metazoa, Chordata, Aves, Passeriformes, Pipridae.